Molecule: ribosomal RNA, 44 nt
Filed under: Schyzocotyle acheilognathi
Lineage: Eukaryota; Metazoa; Platyhelminthes; Cestoda; Bothriocephalidea; Bothriocephalidae
Description: partial 28S ribosomal RNA
Source: RNAcentral
CCUGACCUCGGAUCAGUCGUGGCUACCCGCUGAACUUAAGCAUA